AACGAACGCUGGCGGCAUGCCUAACACAUGCAAGUCGAACGAGCCGUUCGGGUCUUUUGGCGCACGGCUGUGUAACGCGUGGGAACCUGCCCUUAGGUUCGGAAUAACUCCCCGAAUGGGGUGCUAAUACCGGAUAAUGUCUUCGGACCAAAGAUUUAUUGCAUUUGGAGGGGCCAGCGUUGGAUUAGCUAGUUGGUAGGGUAAAAGCUUACCAAGGCGACGAUCCAUAGCUGGUCUGAGAGGAUGAUUAGCGACACUGGGACUGAGACACGGCCCAGACUCCUACGGGAGGCAGCAGAGGGGAAUAUUGGACAGUGGGCGAAAGCCUGAUCCAGCAAUGCCGCGUGAGUGAUGAAGGCCGUAGGGUUGUAAAGCUCUUUUACCCGUGAUGAUAAUGACAGUACCGGGAGAAUAAGCUCCGGCUAACUCCGUG
This 433-nucleotide ribosomal RNA is filed under the name uncultured bacterium. RNAcentral describes it as "partial 16S ribosomal RNA". It matches the Rfam family "Bacterial small subunit ribosomal RNA", at positions 29 to 507 of the family's 1533-position model. The record is from RNAcentral.